GCCAGUAUAGCUCAGUUGGUAGAGCAGCGCACUCGUAACGCGAAGGUCACAGGUUCGAUUCCUGCUACUGGCACCA
This 76-nucleotide transfer RNA is filed under the name Snodgrassella alvi. RNAcentral's name for it is "tRNA-Thr". It matches the Rfam family "tRNA". Rfam says of the family: Transfer RNA (tRNA) molecules are approximately 80 nucleotides in length. Lineage: Bacteria; Pseudomonadati; Pseudomonadota; Betaproteobacteria; Neisseriales; Neisseriaceae. RNAcentral also lists the same sequence under 1 other name. The record is from RNAcentral.